RNAcentral lists this unclassified non-coding RNA (211 nucleotides) under Hevea brasiliensis (rubber tree). The record is from RNAcentral. Lineage: Eukaryota; Viridiplantae; Streptophyta; Magnoliopsida; Malpighiales; Euphorbiaceae.
CACCGAGGCACAGGCCAUCCACGCCUGAUAGAGAACGCAGUGGAACAGCAAAGAAACGCCUGUCAUAUCCAGCUCCUGAGCCACAUUGUGGCAUUAGAAUUGAUUAUAGUAGCUUUAGCCAGAACCUGAGAAGCCCCAGCUUUAAGAGUGUGCAAGGUGGAUGUUUUGGAAUGGAGCACCGGUCAAACUACUCUACAUGCUACACUGAGAG